This 1514-nucleotide long non-coding RNA is filed under the name Helianthus annuus (common sunflower). RNAcentral's name for it is "hypothetical non coding rna". The record is from RNAcentral. Lineage: Eukaryota; Viridiplantae; Streptophyta; Magnoliopsida; Asterales; Asteraceae.
CGACAGUUUCCUAAGCUCCAUAUUUUCCUGACCAUGUUCUCCACAAAUCAUGCCUACAAAUGUUUCCCAACCAGUUACAGGCAGUUACGGCCCCCAUAUUUUCCUCCCACUUUGCGGAUAACUUCAUAUGCAACUUACGCUCAUCAUAAUCCUUCCUUUUGUAGCAAAAAUUGUGUUCGAUCACCUUCAUCCUCACUCUUAUUUCAUACCCCUAAUAUUUUUCUUCCUUCUCGAAUUCACAUCUAAAUUGGUGAAAUCAGAAGGUUCGUCCGUGUGAUCACAAUGCAUUUAACAUAAAAGAAGAGACGGAUGUGAAAUCACGCAACGAAGAACAUAUAUUACAUGAUGGAGGGUGGCCCAAAUUUUGUUUAGGGUUUUCAGCAGGUGAACGCUCCACCAUAAAUCGUACUCCAUUGUUGGAAGUAUCAGGUGAAAGCUUCAAUCAAACGUGUUUUGGAUGAGGUUAUGAAGGUGAAAAGGCAAAUUAGACAUCUGUAGAACCCAAUUCGAGGUGAAACUAUAAAUUAUCUUAGAUUUUCAACCGGAAUGAAAUGAUUGACGACCGGAUUUAUUUGCGUCACUGAAGAGAUUCCUUUGGGUAUGACAAAAAAGAUGCAUACUUUAGGCGUCUUUGGAGGUCUAUUUAAAGUUUUUACUUACUAUUCGUUCAUAGAAAUUAUUUUACUUGACAUGUGAUCACCCAAGAGUGGGAGGCAGAAGAUUUAUGUGGCUUCUUGGGGUAUCCUGAAACAACAGAAUUUUACUAUAUAUUGCAGGGGUUAUGUUUUAUUCGUUGGAAGGAACAAGAAUUUUGUAGCCAGACCCUCGCUGGUCCACACCCAUGUGACUUUGAAUGAUGAAGCCAAUACUUCUCUUUUACAGAUCUGUGUAGGAAUGGCCUCUGAAAAGGUAAACUCAACCCGUAGGUGUAUCGGCCAGCUGAGACAACAAUUACAAAAGAGAUGGUUCAGCAAGUGAUAGGUGGCCUCAUGCCCCCUGAGCAUUCAUAGCGAUGGAAGAUAUGAGAACAACUUUAUAUGGGUCAUUAACUCCAUCUGGAACCUUGAGACCAAUAGCCAUUGAGUUAGUUUGGCCACCUAGCAAUAGGAAACCACAGUGGAAGCAAGCAUUUUCUUUCUCAUGACUGGGAUCCACCAGCUUGUAAGUCACUGCUGGUUCGCCCAAUUUACAAGCAAAUGGUAGAGCUGCAAAAUGCAAAAUAUAAACUGCAAAUACACUUUUGGUUAUAAACCAGAAAAAAGGGUCGUUAGCUUUGAGUAAGGGUGUUAUGGUAAUCCAACUACCCAUGUUUUUGAGGAACAUAUAAGGAAACAAGAGAGGAGAAUGGGCUAAACUUCUUCGGUAUCCACUCCGAUCAGCCACCAAAUCCGAGGAUGAAAAGCUUCUUGAAUCCGUCCCGUCAACUGCUUCAAUGUCUAGAAGGUUUAUUUUGGUUCCAAUAACUAUAUUGUGUUUUAUACGCUUGACUUUUCAUUAGCUUAUGCAUCUGUUUG